UCGGCUUUCUUUUAUUUAUUUUUUUCAUUUUUUCUUAAAUUUAAAAUAUAUAGCUAUACAGCAAUCUCCCUCUCAAUUUAGGAGGGCCGUCUUAAGACUAGAGCUCGCUCUAAAGGCACGAGAAAACAAU
RNAcentral lists this small nucleolar RNA (130 nucleotides) under Catagonus wagneri (Chacoan peccary). RNAcentral's name for it is "Small Cajal body specific RNA 11 (ENSCWAG00000005567.1)". It matches the Rfam family "Small Cajal body specific RNA 11". Rfam says of the family: scaRNAs are a specific class of small nuclear RNAs which localise to the Cajal bodies and guide the modification of RNA polymerase II transcribed spliceosomal RNAs U1, U2, U4, U5 and U12. ACA57 belongs to the H/ACA box class of guide RNAs as it has the predicted hairpin-hinge-hairpin-tail structure, conserved H/ACA-box motifs and is found associated with GAR1. The record is from Rfam by way of RNAcentral. Lineage: Eukaryota; Metazoa; Chordata; Mammalia; Artiodactyla; Tayassuidae.